UUAGAAGAUAUUUUAUGUAAAAUUUUAGCUUUGGGAGUUAAAGAAAGAGUUUUCUUCUUUUUAGGG
Molecule: transfer RNA, 66 nt
Filed under: Lithobius maqinensis
Lineage: Eukaryota; Metazoa; Arthropoda; Chilopoda; Lithobiomorpha; Lithobiidae
Description: tRNA-Pro
Source: RNAcentral